GCCCCUGACCUGCAAUUUCCUCUCCCCAAGCAACGGCCUCCGGAGCCGUGUGCGCAGAUUUCGAAUCCUGCCGGGGGCA
RNAcentral lists this transfer RNA (79 nucleotides) under Streptomyces sp. KAI 90. Its description in RNAcentral is "tRNA-Arg". Lineage: Bacteria; Bacillati; Actinomycetota; Actinomycetes; Kitasatosporales; Streptomycetaceae. The record is from RNAcentral.